GCUAGUCUUGGGUCCACUUGCCUUGUUUAGGUAAUUAUUUACCUUGUUUAGAGAGAUCUCCCCUUCCAUGUUUGGGUUUUUGCCUUUUUGGUUCUCUUACCAUAUUUACAAAACUUAUUAUAUUUGACAACUUACCAUAUUGGAGAACUUACCAUAUUUAUAAAAUUUAGAGUUUCAAUUAAGGAAAUAAAUCAAAGCAAUGAGGAAAGUUAAGAAAAGGCACAUGAAACCCUAAUGU
RNAcentral lists this unclassified non-coding RNA (238 nucleotides) under Hevea brasiliensis (rubber tree). The record is from RNAcentral. Lineage: Eukaryota; Viridiplantae; Streptophyta; Magnoliopsida; Malpighiales; Euphorbiaceae.